UUGACUGUAGUAAACCUGACUGUAAUAAACUUGACUGUAGUAAACCUGACUGUAGUAAACCUGACUGUUGUAAACUUGACUGUAGUAAACCUGACUGUAGUAAACCUGACUGUAGUAAACCUGACUGUUGUAAACUUGACUGUAGUAAACCUGACUGUAAUAAACCUGACUGUAGUAAACCUGACUUUAAUUUGGGUUUACGCCAUGGCUUGUCUUCGUGGAUGUGGGUGUGGCCUCAUGGAUGCAGUCAGGUGCAUUGUGGGAUUCCUGGUCACCCUAGCCAUGUGAGGGAUGUGUUUGUGGUUUUCCUGCGAUGGAGGAACUCUUCGUGUCUUAUUGUGAGUCAGAAAUUAUGAGUUGUUCCGAAGGACUACAGGUUUUGGGACCAGACGACGUGAAGGGAACAGUGCCUACGAACUGAACACUCGCUGCCGGUUUUCCUGAGAACAGGACCAGUCCUUUUAUUCCAAAACCACAGGAGGCAGACGUUCCAUGGUUGGAGUCCGGAGCUCUGGUGGUUGGUGUGAAUGUGGUCGGACACAGGGUUUGGCCUGUGCAACAGCUGAUGAGUGUCUUCAAUCCCAUAUGCAGAGGGGGGGGUUAAAGCCCCGGUCCAGAGUUUUAUGGCUUUAAAAAGUGUCAUUUGUGAAAGUCACUGACGAGUUGACUUUCUUCAUGGACAAUAAACAUUUGUAAAACCUUAAAAAAAAGCCAUUAUUACAAAACUUACAGGUGUUUUUUUAACCUUUUAUUUUCAGCAAAAAAGGCUGAAGGAGAACAGCUGACUGCCUUCAGCAGGGGGCGCUGUCCUGAUGGACUGGACCUUUAGAACCAGGGGGAUGUCCCCAGAGCGGGUUUAAGCCUUUGUACCCGACAGUGAAUGCUCCUCCUCAGUAUCCCCAUAUACACUCAAGUAUACGCCCCCAUGUGUCAGCUGGGUUUCACCGUGAGGUUAGGACUAGUUACAUUAGUACCAGUUAACAUUAGCAUCAUGGGUUAGGACUAGUUACAUUAGCAUUAGCUAACAUUAGCAUCAUCGGUUAGGAUUAAUUACAUUAGCAUCAGCUAACAUUAGCAUCACAGAUUAGGGUUAGUUACAUUAGCAUCAGCUAACAUUAGCAUCAUGGUUUGAAACCCCUUAAAAACCAGCAGACAUUAGUGUCAUUAAACUUUUCAGCCAAUCCUCAGGCUCCAAAGGAGGUUGAAAAGAGGGUUAAUUUCACCCCAGUUCAGACUUGACUUGUGGAAAUGUUCAUACAAGGUCAAAGGUCAGACUGAGUCCAGCCGUGGUU
Molecule: long non-coding RNA, 1292 nt
Organism: Sphaeramia orbicularis (orbiculate cardinalfish)
Lineage: Eukaryota; Metazoa; Chordata; Actinopteri; Kurtiformes; Apogonidae
Exons: 2
Source: RefSeq, a predicted model, not a curated record